GCUCAGUAACACGUGGAGAACGUGCCCUUAAGUGGAGGAUAAUCUCGGGAAAUUGAGGAUAAUACUCCAUAGAUCAUGAGAUCUGGAAUGACUCAUGGUUCAAAGUUCCGGCGCUUAAGGAUCGCUCUGCGGCCUAUCAGGUAGUAGUGGGUGUAAAGUACCCCCUAGCCUACGACGGGUAUGGGCCUUGAGAGAGGGAGCCCAGAGUUGGAUUCUGAGACACGAAUCCAGGCCCUACGGGGCGCAGCAGUCGCGAAAACUUCACACUGGGGGGAACCCCGAUGAGGGAAAUCCUAGUGCUAGGACAUUUGUUCUAGCUUUUCUCAAGCGUAGAUAACUUGAGGAAUAAGGGCUGGGUAAGACGGGUGCCAGCCGCCGCGGUAAUACCUGCAGCCCGAGUGGUGGUCGAUUUUAUUGAGUCUAAAACGUUCGUAGCCGGUCCGGUAAAUCCCUGGGUAAAUCGGGAAGCUCAACUUCCCGAAUUCCGGGGAGACUGCCGGGCUUGGGACCGGGAGAGGCUAGAGGUACUUCUGGGGUAGGGGUAAAAUCCUGUAAUCCUGGAAGGACCACCGGUGGCGAAGGCGUCUAGCUAGAACGGAUCCGACGGUGAGGGACGAAGCCCUGGGUCGCAAACGGGAUUAGAUACCCAGGUAGUCCAGGGUGUAAACGCUGCAGACUUGGUGUUGGGGGCCCUUCGGGGGGCGUCCAGUGCCGGAGAGAAGUUGUUAAGUCUGCUACUUGGGGGAGUACGUCCGCAAGGAUGAAACUUAAAAGGAAUUGGCGGGGGAGCAC
Molecule: ribosomal RNA, 792 nt
Filed under: uncultured archaeon
Lineage: Archaea
Description: bacterial SSU rRNA
Rfam family: Archaeal small subunit ribosomal RNA
Source: RNAcentral